Molecule: ribosomal RNA, 360 nt
Filed under: Lamproderma echinosporum
Lineage: Eukaryota; Evosea; Eumycetozoa; Stemonitida; Stemonitidae
Description: bacterial SSU rRNA
Rfam family: Eukaryotic small subunit ribosomal RNA
Source: RNAcentral
UCUGAAUCUGCGAACGGCUCCGCAAACCAGUUGUAAACUACAGCAAGCAAGCACGGGGGGUUGGCCUUCACGGGUCGGUCCCUCGGGCGAUAUGGAUAACCCUGGUAAUUCUGAGGCUAAUACAAGAACGUAACCCCUGGCUGACUGAGCCCUCGCCCUCGGGUGGGGAUACUUGGGAGGCUGGGAAGCGUGCGAGUACUAAUGCGAAUGAGAACCGGGAAUGGGCGCACGCUUGGACCGCGCUACAAAGGAUCAUUACUCGGCAAUCCCUCCGGGGUGCGCUUUGUUUUGGCCCUAGCGGCUCUUGCGGUGUGCUUCUGACCUAUCAACUAGACGGCAGCGUAACGGACAUGCUAUGGU